GAUGAACGCUGGCGGCGUGCCUAAUACAUGCAAGUCGAGCGAACAGACGAGGAGCUUGCUCCUCUGACGUUAGCGGCGGACGGGUGAGUAACACGUGGAUAACCUACCUAUAAGACUGGGAUAACUUCGGGAAACCGGAGAUAAUACCGGAUAAUAUAUUGAACCGCAUGGUUCAAUAGUGAAAUACGGUUUUGCUGUCACUUAUAGCUGGAUCCGCGCCGCAUUAGCUAGUUGGUAAGCUAACGGCUUACCAAGGCAACGCUGCGUAGCCGAGCGCAGCGAGGGAUCGGCCACACGGGAACUGAGACAGGGUCCAGACUCCUACGGGAGGCAGCAGUAGGGAAUCUUCCGCAAUGGGCGAAAGCCUGACGGAGCAACGCCGCGUGAGUGAUGAAGGUCUUCGGAUCGUAAAACUCUGUUAUUAGGGAAGAACAAAUGUGUAAGUAACUAUGCACGUCGUGACGGUACCUAAUCAGAAAGCCACGGCUAACUACGUG
This 497-nucleotide ribosomal RNA is filed under the name uncultured bacterium. RNAcentral describes it as "partial 16S ribosomal RNA". It matches the Rfam family "Bacterial small subunit ribosomal RNA", at positions 28 to 507 of the family's 1533-position model. The record is from RNAcentral.